This 529-nucleotide ribosomal RNA is filed under the name Loxa deducta. Its description in RNAcentral is "partial large subunit ribosomal RNA". It matches the Rfam family "Eukaryotic large subunit ribosomal RNA", at positions 666 to 1138 of the family's 3401-position model. RNAcentral also lists the same sequence under 1 other name. Lineage: Eukaryota; Metazoa; Arthropoda; Insecta; Hemiptera; Pentatomidae. The record is from RNAcentral.
CCAAGGAGUCUAGCGUGUGCGCGAGUCAUUGGGUGUAAAACCUAAAGGCGCAAUGAAAGUGUCAGGGGUGCCUCCUUUAGGAGCGCUCCCCGUCGGGAGGAUGGGCCGCCGUACGUGUACUCGUCGGAGCCCCGCACUCCCGGGGCGUCUCGUUCUCAUCACGAGUGGAGACGCACCAGGAGCGCACACGCUGGUACCCGAAAGAUGGUGAACUAUGCCUGGCCAGGACGAAGCCAGGGGAAACCCUGGUGGAGGUCCGAAGCGAUUCUGACGUGCAAAUCGAUCGUCUGAGCUGGGUAUAGGGGCGAAAGACCAAUCGAACCAUCUAGUAGCUGGUUCCCUCUGAAGUUUCCCUCAGGAUAGCUGGCUCUCGGGAAGAGACGAGUCUCAUCCGGUAGAGCGAAUGAUUAGAGGUGAUGGGGUCGAAACGACUUCAACCUAUUCUCAAACUCCCAAUAGAUGAGAGCCCCGGCUUGCUUAAAAGUGAAGCCGCGGGACUCGGAUCAGAGAUGCCAAGUGGGCCAAUUUU